This 495-nucleotide ribosomal RNA is filed under the name uncultured bacterium. RNAcentral describes it as "partial 16S ribosomal RNA". It matches the Rfam family "Bacterial small subunit ribosomal RNA", at positions 28 to 507 of the family's 1533-position model. The record is from RNAcentral.
GACGAACGCUGGCGGCGUGCCUAAUACAUGCAAGUAGAACGCUGAAGGAGGAGCUUGCUUCUCUGGAUGAGUUGCGAACGGGUGAGUAACGCGUAGGUAACCUGCCUGGUAGCGGGGGAUAACUAUUGGAAACGAUAGCUAAUACCGCAUAAGAGUAGAUGUUGCAUGACAUUUGCUUAAAAGGUGCAAUUGCAUCACUACCAGAUGGACCUGCGUUGUAUUAGCUAGUUGGUGGGGUAACGGCUCACCAAGGCGACGAUACAUAGCCGACCUGAGAGGGGGAUCGGCCCAACUGGGAAUGAGACACGGCCCAGACUCCUACGGGAGGCAGCAGUAGGGAAUCUUCGGCAAUGGACGGAAGUCUGACCGAGCAACGCCGCGUGAGUGAAGAAGGUUUUCGGAUCGUAAAGCUCUGUUGUAAGAGAAGAACGAGUGUGAGAGUGGAAAGUUCACACUGUGACGGUAUCUUACCAGAAAGGGACGGCUAACUACGUG